RNAcentral lists this ribosomal RNA (468 nucleotides) under uncultured bacterium. RNAcentral's name for it is "partial 16S ribosomal RNA". It matches the Rfam family "Bacterial small subunit ribosomal RNA", at positions 28 to 507 of the family's 1533-position model. The record is from RNAcentral.
GACGAACGCUGGCGGCGUGCUUAACACAUGCAAGUCGAACGGAAAGGCCCUGCUUUUGUGGGGUGCUCGAGUGGCGAACGGGUGAGUAACACGUGUGUAACCUGCCCUUGACUUUGGGAUAACUUCAGGAAACUGGGGCAAAUACCGGAUAGGAGCUCCUGCUGCAUGGGGGGGGUUGGAGAGUUUCGGCGGUGGGGGUGGGACUCGGGGUUUAUCCGCUUGUUGGGGGGGUAGGGGCUUACCAAGGGUUUGACGGGUCGCGGGCCUGAGGGGGUGACCGGCAACAUGGGGACUGGGAUACGGCCCGGACUCCAACGGGAGGCAGCAGUGGGGAAUAUUGCACAAUGGGCGGAAGCCUGAUGCAGCAACGCCGCGUGCGGGAUGACGGCUUUCGGGUUGUAACCCGCUUUCGCCUGUGACGAAGCGUGAGUGACGGUAAUGGGUAAAGAAGCACCGGCUAACUACGUG